AUACGGAGGGUGCAAGCGUUAAUCGGAAUUACUGGGCGUAAAGCGUUCGUAGGCGGUUUGUUAAGUUAGAUGUGAAAGCCCCGGGCUCAACCUGGGAACUGCAUUUAAAACUGGCAAACUCGAGUUUAGGAGAGGGAAGUGGAAUUUCAGGUGUAGCAGUGAAAUGCGUAGAGAUCUGAAGGAACACCAGUGGCGAAGGCGACUUCCUGGACUAAAACUGACGCUGAGGAACGAAAGCGUGGGUAGCAAACGGGAUUAGAAACCCCAGUAGUCC
This 274-nucleotide ribosomal RNA is filed under the name uncultured bacterium. RNAcentral describes it as "partial 16S ribosomal RNA". It matches the Rfam family "Bacterial small subunit ribosomal RNA", at positions 523 to 796 of the family's 1533-position model. The record is from RNAcentral.